GGCACGGCCCCGCCGCCGCCGCUCCCCCGCCUCCCCCGGCCGCCGCUGCUCUCCGGCAGCCGCCCGCCUGUGGAGGCUGUCCUCUCGCCGCCGCCGCACGUACAAACUUUUUUUUUUUUUUUUUUCUUCCUCCCCCCUUUUUUUCUCCCACCCCCGCGCCGCCCCGGUAGGCUGCGGGCUGCGCGCUUGCCUCCCCGCCGGGCGCAGCGGCCGGGGUGAUGCGGAGCAGGAAGUGGCCGCCGCGGGAGUCGCGCGGUUCCACGUGGCCGCCCCGCACCGGGGCGGGAGAGCCUCGCCCCGGGCCGCCGCUCGCUCCUGCCCCCGCCCCGGCUCAGCGCCGGGCGUGCGCUCCCGUGCACCUGCGCCCGCCCGGACCGCGGCUGCGGCCAGCCGCGCCUGCAGCCCUCCGGGAAAGGAGGGAGCAGUGGGACACCUCGAGUGGGGUUUCGGUUUUCCAGAUUGGAUCAAGGUAUGAGAAAUUGACAAAUGAUGCAGUGUUUAAGGCAUGAGCAACAUCUCUAAUCCUCGUAAGUGUUUGCACAGCCCUGUGACUUCCACAGGAGCACAGAGCUGUUUUCCUCAAAGCCCCCUCCCUGUGUGCAGCUGCAGCAACCACACAAACAUCCCAACGUAAAGAUUUAAGUGACUGUUUUCAGGUUUUUUUUCAGAUGGAGGUGUAUGUUCUGCACAAAGCCAGAGGCAAAGGUGAACCACACAUUCGUGAUUUCACAGAGAGCUACACCCUUGGAGGAUGAUCAAGAGAUUUAUCAUUUUGGUUUUAGACAGCCGAAGUCUCGCUGUCAGUGAACUCCCCCAUUAGCUAUCUGACGACAAUUGAAAAUUCGGCUUCACGAAUUUUAAACCCCCCAGCGUUUGCUUUAUCCCGAAAGAGAAGUAGCUGAUGCCCACUGGGAGGCAGUACGGGCCAAUGGACAGGGUGUUCAUGCCAGCCAGCCCCUCUCUCUGCCGCAGCCACCAAUGAUAGCAGAUUGGAGAAGGCGUCAUGUUUCCGUUUGACCAUUGUACCUGCCCUGAUUCCUCAACAGCGAGCAUCAUCUACCUUUUUUCUUCUCACGCACAGGCCAGCAGUCUGACUCCAAGAGUAUUAGAUUAAUACUGACCUUGGAAGUGUUUUAUUUCAGUUGUAUCCUUGUUAAGGAUGUGCUGAAGUUUCAAAUUCUGCACUUACAGCUCCUCCUAUGUAGUAAAGUGCCUAAGAAAACCUAUAGAACAUAUUUUCACUGUUGUUGAAUUUGUAUCAGCUAAGAUAGAAAAUUCAAAUUAAAUUUGGCUUUGGAUUGCCUCCAGUACUAUUCAAAACCACUUUUCAAAGUCUUUUACAACCUGGAGAGAAAAAGAUGGAGGGUUAAACACUGGCUUUAGUCCCACUCAGUUACAAAAUGUAAGUAAAUAUAAAUUUAUAUAUAUAACUAUAAGUAUAUAUUAAAGUAAAAGAAGUACAUAAUAUAUAAAUAUGAACCAUUAUGCUUUCACUAUACAGGCAGUAUUAAAACAAACCACUAAUCUGUUAUUAGGGAAUUAAUCAAUCUCUGUUAGACUGAUAUUUAGUCAUUCAAAUGUUUCAAACGGGCUGGCAACUGUCACAAUGUUUGUAUCUGUAUGUGGACACCUACUGCUUGUCACAUAGAAAUCAUAUGUUCACUUCUCAUGUAUGACUCCAAAUAAAUAUGCAAUGGCAUUUAAGUCAUUAUAAAGCCUUGCUGCUCUUGAACCAGAGACCUAGGAUGACCUGGAGGUGAGGUAUCCGAUUACCAAUCCCCUAAGCCAUGCAGUUGCCUUAUUGCUGGGGAUUUGGGGGAUGGUGUCUGCAGCAGGGUCACUAACCAAUGUCAAAACCUCAUGCAGUUGCUCGCAUAGGAGAAGUAUCUGGAUGUGGAUCUACCCCAUAACUCUGUCCUGAAUAUCUGGCCACAAAAAACUACUCUGCUUGUUCAGAACACACUGUCUGAAAGCAAAUUCCUACAGACUUUUGUGCCUCUCAAGGUGAAAAUCAUGUGUUACAAAGUUCCAUAAUACAACAAGCUGCUGUAAAGGCUUCAUUCUACAUAAAGUCUCACAUUUUGCUCAUUUGAGUUUUCUUCUAUCAACACAUAGACAAUUUUUGUAAAAUCUGCAGUUCAGAGGCCAAAUUUCUUUCUGCUUAGUGCAGAGAGCACAAAACACAACUGGGUUUUUUUUUGUCAUGUAAAUAGGUUUGAAAUUAAAUAUUUGAAAUUAGCAGUGGUAUGCUGGUUUUGGCUGGGGUAGAGUUUAAUCUUCAGAGUGGCUGGUAUGGGGCUACAUUUUGGUUUUGUGCUGGAAAGGAUAACACCAGGAUGUUUUGGUUAUUGCUGCGCAGGCCUUGCCCAGGAUCAAGGCCUUAUGUGCUCCUCACCCCAUCCCACCAGACAGGAGGCUGGAGGUACACAAGGAAUUGGGAGAGGACACAGCUGGGACAGCUGUCCCCCACUGAUCAAAGAGAUAUUCCAGACCAUAUGGCACCAUGCUCAGUAUAUAAAGUGGGGGAAGAAGGAGGAAGGGAUGGGGACAUUUGGAGUGAUGUUGUUUGUCUUCCCAAGUCACCAUUAGGCAUGAUGAAGCCCAGAUUUCUUGGAGAUGGCUGAACAUUCACCUGCCUAUGGGAAGGGUGCUUUAGGACAAAGAAGAAAAGAUAGGAAAACUUCAUAUUCAAUAAAGUAUGGUGAUUUACAGCAGGACUUUUGUAGACUGUUGGCUAACUGCUUGAAAAACCUGGAUGACUUCUUACUAACCUCCAAGAUACAGAAGUGAACAUGUCUUCAGAACAUUUUAGAUUUAAAUAAGCGGACUUAUAAUAUGAGUGAAAAUGAGUGUAACAAUUUGCCUCUCUUUCAGGUUUAUAUCCAAACAGCCUCUCCAACUUGGCUUGCUAAGUCUUUGGUGUCAGGGCUGAUUAGAAGAAAGCAGGAGAUAGAGGCACUGUUCCUCCCAACAUUUAGGUCAGCUCUGAUACUCUCUCCUGUGUAUCUAGGCCAUGUCUAAUUAAUCCCAGAAUAUUCCAUCACUGCUGGAUUACCUCUGUCAGCUUCUCCCUCAGAAACCUGGCAGCAAAGAUUUUACCUUAGGUGAAGAUUUUCCCUUUUCUAAAGGCAAAUGGGAGUGGUUUUUUUCAUUGUAUAACUACAUAAUGUUUAUGCAACAAUUUACAGAGCCCUUAGGAUGUGAAGUAGUAGAGGCGAAUAGCUUCACUUGAAAUUACUGGAAUGUUGCCAGAUUUAAACAGAGCCAAGAUUUCACCCCCAGUUGUUUUAAGGAUGAAAUUUACCAGCCUUCUCAUCUCCAAGUCCGAAUCUGCUACUCAAAAGAAUCAUAAACUUUUUCCUUCCUCCAAGCCAAAUGUGAAUACAAAGUGCUUAAUCAAAUUAAGAUCAGAAAAGACAAAAGAUCUAAAAACACAAUAAAAAUUCCACCUAAAAGCCUCCUGGACAUCAGCAAAAGUUAAGGAACUAAAUUGUAUUUUUGAACUAUAAGCUGCAGCCUGCAGUCUGCCAUGGUCAUUACCAGAAUUACAUAAACAGUUUGCAAAGACACAUAACAGCUCUGGGAGGUGUUUAAAUCAAGACAAGCCAACACUGUGGAGCAGUGGAUAUGCAACUGGAAAAAUAACCCAGAGCACUUACUGAACUAGGGACACACUGCACCCAUGUUUUGUGUAUCACCAUAGUGAAGCACAGAAUCACAGCACUAAAAACAGACUGUUAAUUAGCAAUGCAAAAUUUAUAUGCAAUUAUGCAAGGUGCUGGCUGUCUCAAGCAGUGCCACAUUUGUAUAAUGAGGGUGAAAUGUGUCGUGACUUUUGGAAUCAAUGCUCUGUAAACAUGCAUUCAUCUAUGCAAAGAGCCAGUGGAUUUUUUCUUAUACCUGAUGGUAAAGUACUACGUGACAAGACGACUUACUACUUGCAGAACAAGAAAUACCUGCUAUUGGAGAUGUAUUAAUAUGAACUUUAAAACACAGGCAAAGAACAGCAUAGGCAUUUCUGCAGUGGGUGGGGUAUGUUUUUAAACUCCACUCUCCACUGCUCAAAUUAUGUCCUUGCAAUCUCCUUCAGUUAAAAAUCAAAAGGAUUUUCACUGCAUUUUGUACAGGAUUGUUGUCAAGACCUUCAUUUAAAUGCUUCUACUGAUACCUUCAGGAUUAUGUAAUACUAAAAAUGUAAAUAAGAUGCAGAUUUGUCACAUACUCAUUUUUCUUUCCUAUGUAAGUUGAUUACUAAAGCAGGAAAUGCUAUUCAUAAAUGCUCAUUACUAACACACUAAAAAAUUCAUAUAGCAAAACUUCUUUAUUUCUUUAACGUCACUAGAAAAAUAGUCAAAUUAGUAUCAGUCAUGAGUUUUGCAUGAGUUAAGAUUUACCUGCCCUCCACAUGUGCAGUAGUGGGUCAUUGACAUACUUAGCACCUGUGUUUGUAAAGUCAUCUUAUGUCUUAUCUCACAUUAGAAGGAGGAAGGCAGAUUUUCUAGACACAGGUUGAGUGCACCUGCAGCAAAAGUACAACAGGUGUAUUGCAACCCAUAGCCAGUGCAGUGGAAUGGCCAAAUCCUGCUGUCUUGCAUUUAACAUCCUAGCCUGAACACACAGAUAGGUAAAAAAAUAUUGUGACAUUUUGACAGGUAAAAAAUGCACACUGGCUAGUGAUAUGAUAUUAAAACCACUCCAGCUUAGUGUAAGCUCUCACAAUUCACGUUUCUCUUCCACCAAGGUCCCCUAUUACGACACUGGACUUCACCAGAGGAGAAGGACUCAUAGCUUUUUUUGUCAUGGCCCAAAUUUCUGACUGGAUCUAAGAGUCCUUUAAGCAUAUGUGACUCUGCCCUGAAUUUUGGUCAUGCAGCUCAAUACAGAGCAGAAGGAUGAACUAGAUUUCUGCUGGUGUUUUUAACUGUGAUAAGCUUCCUGAUGCUAUGCAUUAAGUAAGAUACCAAAAUAAGCUUGACGGUGUGGGACAGUUUGUCCUUUUGCUUUGGAGAUUUACCCCUUCUUGUGCUUCAUCACCCAGUUCAAACCCUGUAUACACUGUGCUUUAGUGGUGGUAGCAAGAUGAAGACACAAAAAUGCUCUCUAAUCUUCUAAUUUCCCAUCAGGUACAAUGCCCACUAGGCUACUAAAUUUUCACCAUCUUUUUUGUGACCAGCAUCUCAAACUCAUCAGCCUUAAGUAGCAGAGCAAAAGUUACAGUUGUUAGAGUUAUCUCUAGUCUUCAGGAUUGCAUCUUGAUGAGAGAGAAAGGUGUGCUAUUUGUGUGGAUUCUACAGGGUCUAAACUUGGAACGCUACUGCCCUGUAUGAAGCAGAAAAAUACGAAGUUGUUAUUCAAAAAGUGUAUCAGUCAUGUUGAUUUAAAAAUGCCCUACAUUCAAGAAUGUGGAUUUUAGACUCAGCUAGGCAUAAUUUUCCUUGUGACACCUACAGAAGUUAAUUAAACUUUGCAAUUGAGACAGAGAUGCACUAUUAGCUUAGACAAGAAUGAUAAAUAACUUGCACUUUCUGAGAGAAUGAGUACAUAUAGUACAUGUAAAAUGCAUGCUAUUAUUUUAAAGAGAGCUUUUAAGUUUUUAUGAGUGCCUGCAUGACUUGCAUUGUUGUUGAAAAAUUAAAACAGUUCAUUGUAUGCCUUGAAUGCUAGAAAUUGCUUCAUAUCAUAAUAGCAUCCUCUCUGACCAUUCAAAGCACCUAGUUCUUCCUUUUACUCCUCAAAAAAAAAAAAAAAAAAAAAAAAAGAAAGAUUGGUUUAUAUAUUAUGAAUUUCUCAUUAGGCUCCUGAUAGCAGGAUUAGAGUUUCCUGGUCAAUUAUCUGGGUACAGUUAAAUGAUUCUCUCCAUUCAACUAUCCACAAUAAUUGCCAGUAGGAAGACAAGUGUUUCGCCAUGCACCACGAUGCAUGGAAAGGACCAGCAAUAGCAUCAGCAUUUACACCUGUUACACAGACUAAGAUAAAGCCAGAUCUUUCUAAAGCUGCUGUCACAGCCUUCUCCCUGCUAUAUGCAGGUGUAGGAGGAGCUUCUCACAGUGACCAAACAAGUCUCCAGCACUUUGGGUGAUAACAAUCCAUUGCUGAUGAAACCUGAGACCUGGUAUAAAAUGCAAACAACAGGCAGAAUCACUCAGCAAAUGGAUGUCACGGUUCAAGAACUUUUGACAGUCAAAGCCCUCAACAAAUACCUGCACCCUGCCUAAGUUUGUGACUUUGAUGUCCCUCAGCUCUGCGUAACAGCACAUGCCUUCAUUACAACAAUCCUUGUAUUGCGCACCAAAACCUGAGCUCUAAAGAAGCGGCAGAAAUCAAGUUAACAAAUCUUCACGUAGUUGUCUGAACACACCCAACUUUCCACCAAGUCUAAGCUCAGGGGUUCUGGGGAUGAGCAUCCUGAUAAGCUUUGAACCAAGCUUAAAAAAAAAAAAAAAAAAAAGGAUCCAGGUUCUCUUUUCUUCUGACAUAAUAAAGGCCUGGUGUCCAUUGUUGGUUACCUCAGAUGUCAAGCACUGUCCUGUCCAACUUCUAAAAUAAAGAACAUCAUUAUGUAAAUUGA
Haemorhous mexicanus (house finch) is the source of this 6568-nucleotide long non-coding RNA. RefSeq lists it as uncharacterized. Lineage: Eukaryota; Metazoa; Chordata; Aves; Passeriformes; Fringillidae. The transcript has 4 exons. The record is from RefSeq and is a predicted model, not a curated record.